AGAACGAACGCUGGCGGCAUGCCUAAUACAUGCAAGUCGAACGAAUGCCCUUCGGGGUGUUAGUGGCGCACGGGUGCGUAACGCGUGGGAAUCUGCCCUUGGGUUCGGAAUAACAGUUAGAAAUGACUGCUAAUACCGGAUGAUGACGUAAGUCCAAAGAUUUAUCGCCCAGGGAUGAGCCCGCGUAGGAUUAGCUAGUUGGUGGGUAAAGGCCUACCAAGGCGACGAUCCUUAGCUGGUCUGAGAGGAUGAUCAGCCACACUGGGACUGAGACACGGCCCAGACUCCUACGGGAGGCAGCAGUAGGGAAUAUUGGACAAUGGGCAAAGCCUGAUCCAGCAAUGCCGCGUGAGUGAUGAAGGCCUUAGGUGUAAAGCUCUUUUACCCGAGAUGAUAAUGACAGUAUCGGAGAAUAAGCUCCGGCUAACUCCGUGCCCGCAGCCG
Molecule: ribosomal RNA, 444 nt
Filed under: uncultured soil bacterium
Lineage: Bacteria
Description: bacterial SSU rRNA
Rfam family: Bacterial small subunit ribosomal RNA
Source: RNAcentral